This 496-nucleotide ribosomal RNA is filed under the name uncultured bacterium. RNAcentral's name for it is "partial 16S ribosomal RNA". It matches the Rfam family "Bacterial small subunit ribosomal RNA", at positions 28 to 506 of the family's 1533-position model. The record is from RNAcentral.
GAUGAACGCUGGCGGCGGGCCUAAUACAUGCAAGUCGAGCGAACAGACGAGGAUCUUUCUCCUCUAACGUUAGCGACGGGCGGGUGGGUAAGACAUGGAUAACCUACCUAUAAGACUGGGGUGACUUAGGGAAACCAGAGCGAAUACAUGAUAAUAUAUUUAACCGCAGGGUUCAAUAGUGAAAGGCGGUGUUGCUGUCACUGAUAGAGGGAUGCGCGCCGCAUUAGGUAGGUGGUAAGGUAACGGCCUACCAAGGCAACGAUGGGUAGCCGACCUGAGAGGGAGAUCGGACACACUGGAACGGAGACACGGUCCAGACUCCUACGGGAGGCAGGAGUAGGGAAUCUACCGCAAUGGGCGAAAGCGUGACGGAGCAACGCCGCGUGAGUGAUGAAGGUCUUCGGAUCGGAAAACACUGUUAUUAGGGAAGAACAAAUGUGUAAGUAACUAUGCACGUCUUGACGGUACCUAAUCAGAAAGCCACGGCUAACUACGU